CCUGAAUCUCAAUGGAGGCCACUUAAGUAAGUAACCUUUGCCCAGCACAGCCAUCUCUGAGGAAGCUCUCACGCUUCCAUGACAUACACAGCUGCACUGAGCAUCUCUCAGCAUGGUUGCUUAUUCAUGCCUAAGGGGCCUACACUUUGGUCCCCCUUUCAGGUAAACCCAGUUUGUCCUUGGCUGCCGGAUGGCUACAGGAGGUUGCAGAAUGAGGGGCCUGGAAAUGGGGGACCUGAUGAAAAAUGCUGUCUUGGGUGGAGCGCCACAGAAAACAGAAGAAAAGUAAAAGUAUCCACAAAGCAUGUCGAGAAGGGGAAAGAGCUGUGGCUCUAUGUUGUCCUGGAGACCUGGAGCAUCUUUGGUGUGGGGAUCUUAAGCCACUCCUUCUGCAAUCACUCUCUCUGGACCUGGACCUUUCUCAUCUUCUUUCUGAAUCCCAAGACGUGAACUGGGACCACCUUUGUUCCCUAUGCAGGGAGCGACUAUGACUUUGACUCAUUGGAGUACUCCUCCUCCUGUGACCACCCUGGAAACAACCCCACAACUUUAGGUACUGAGUCACUGAAAUAAAAUAUCUGUCUGAAAAACUUUGAAAUAUUAUGGAUGACUGCAGAACCACUGAUGUCUCUCCAGUGACAGGUCAUUUCACUGGCCUAGGUUGCAUUGCAGAAGAGCUGAGCACUAGAUCUCCUUACUGCAGAUGAAGGAGGCACCUGCUUAUUCCUGGGAGAACAAUGCUGUUACUACAUCAAGUCCAGCCUAGUAGAGACCCAGAUAGAAUCUCUCCACAUGCUGGGGAAGGAGCACAGGAGAUGAAACCUGGGCAUCUACUCCACUUCCACUGGUUGUAGUCUGUAGGCUUAGAUUUUUUCAAAUUCUACUCUUAAUAUGGGUUCUUAAAUGCUUUAACCUCCCUUCUAGCCCACCACCCACCAGAGGUAGUGAAAAAGAAAAGUUAUUAGAAUACAAGGGAAGUGGACCUGUUUAGAGAUUGUUCUUUGGAGCAAAUCCAGUCUUCAUUGUCAUGAAAUCAGCAGUUCAGUUCACAGAAAUCAGCAGCACCAGCUUGAUUUACUCACAAACACUUCACAAAUAUACCUGCAGUCCAUUUCAGUAGUGUCAGGAUAGCAAACACGAAUCAGUAGUGAUGGCAUGACCUAGCAGAAAUAUCCAGGCCUCAGUGGAAUUGGCACAAGUCAACAGGAGCAAACAGGACCACCAGGGAUGCCAGGAAAAGUUCCCAGCUAUGCCUCUCUCAGCAAAGACAUGAGACCAACAAGUGUUGCAAAGAUAGCUAUGCAAGCCCUCAUCAAUGUCCAUUGAGUCCUAUUUAUACUCCCUCCAAACAUCAUGUGUCCUCCAUGGGUCUUGUUUCACCAUGUGAGUUUGUCUUUGCAAAACUCCACGUGAACCUGUAUUAUCUGACAUCACUCUGCCAAUUGGCUCAGGUCCACUGAAGUGGCAAGAAGCCAUCAGAAUACCACCUGAAGGUUUUUGGUGCAUUUCUCUCGAUGGAGUCACUACAAAUGGAGCCCAGCUAUACAAUAUAAGGCAAACCAAAAUGUGUGUGUCAUUAGUGAAGAAUCCUUCAUCACAUGUCCUUUCACAUGUUUGCUUUAGCAAAACAUCAUUUCACCUGUGUCCACUUCAGGAAAACACUCUUUCACAUGCUUGCCCCAGCAAAACACCAUCCAACACAACUGAAUUUCCAAAGAAACCAUAAGUUUCCACUUUAGCAGCCCCCCCUUUUUAAUGGCUCGCCCUGAUUAGGACUCCUCAUUCUCCCUCAUUCUCAUUUGCUUAUUUUUUUUCUUUUUGCCCCUAGUAUCAUCCACUUUCUUCAGGAACAGAUUAGAAAGGGUUCCCCAGUAAUGGUCAGCCAGACACUUCUUCACUCAUAUCUCCCACUCAGAACAAACUCAUCCUCCCUGUGUUAUCCAUCUUCAGCAGGAAGUAGCCAGACAUGAUCCAGUGCCUAUAUACACAGAGGUACAGAUGUUCUGUUGGAGUCUCUUGCUACCCUUACUCCCGUCUCUCACACGCAUCCUGCAUGGUCCCCAUAAACUCUGUCUCUCCUCCUCUCUCUAACUCCAUCCAUUCAGAAAGCCUCUGAAAAAAAAGAAAGGAGCCAAAAGCCCAUUCCACACUCCUGACAGCUGUUGCAACCCCUUCUCUCCUGAAGUUUCUAACCACCCUAAUUUCUACCUAAUUGACCACACUUGGGCACAAGCCCAGCUUGUGGCUGAUAAGUAAUUCUCCUUCACCUACAAUGGAUAAAACUUCCCUGCCUAGCCUGGACAUGAUUUCUCUGGCCUCAUUCUCUGAGACUGGUAAACUCACCUGGGAGCUGUUUCCAAAUAAGCCUGUCUUUAUACUUUUAAUUUGGCUUGAAUUGGCUUAUUACAUUGGCAGAGAAACCUGUUAACAAGCACAUGCUAGUUUUUAUAGAUAUAUUUUCUGGGUAAAUAGAAGCAUUACACACCAGGACUAAAACUGCUCAAAAACUAGCUAAAAGUUCUUCCAGGAACCAGUCCCUUGAUCUGGCCUCUCCUUAUGAUGGAGUCCAAAAAUAGCCUAGCUUUCACAUCCAAAACCUCUCAACUAAUAGCUAAAGCUUUAAGCAUUGAUUGAAAACUCCACUGUGCAUAUAGACCUCAGAGUUUUGGGCAGGAAGAGUGAACAGGUUGUUAAAAGAAACACUAAAAAACUCUCAUUAGAGUCUGGCAAAGGGUGAAUAGGCCUCUUUCCUUUGCUUUGCUCCAGGCCUACUGCACCUCAUAUAGGGAGGGAUUUACCACUAUGAGAUUAUGUUUGGAAGGCCUCCCUUACUGUUUGCCCAGAUCAGAGACCAGCAGUUGGCAGAACUCUCUGCCAUUCCUUUCCCAAGUCACUACAGGCCCUCCAGUUCUGUAUAAAGGCUAUUCAUUGGAUUAUCCCAAAUUCCCAGCUGGCCUGCAAGUCCACCAUCAGUUUCCCCUUGUUUUAGCCCAGUGGUACCACAUAGGUUAAGCAGGUAGCCAAAGGGGCACUGGAACCAACUUGGAAAGAACCCCACAUGGUGAUAAUCUCCACCCCUAUGGUCAUGAAGGUAGCUGGCAUUAUACCAUGGAUCCACCAUGUCCAGGCCAAGAAAGUGGAGGCAACAGAAGAUGAUGCCAAGUGAACUGUUUCCCAGACUAUGGACCCAUUAAAAUUAAGGUUUCACUACUUCCAUACUCUUCUACUCCCUACCUCUCUACCUCCUCCUGAGUCUUGUAUUUUAUCCCAUAGUUAUAGGUAUGAGUAGAUACUGUGGAUAGCCUUCGGACUAAUUAUAUUGAUGUUAAUUCUGUUCUCUGCAAACAAGGAAUGAGUCAGUACUCUGGUCAUUUCCUGUAAACCUGUU
This is a long non-coding RNA of Mus musculus (house mouse), 3388 nucleotides long. RefSeq annotates it as predicted gene, 54173. The record is from RefSeq and is a predicted model, not a curated record. The transcript is spliced from 4 exons. NCBI's taxonomy places the organism in Eukaryota, Metazoa, Chordata, Mammalia, Rodentia, Muridae.